Molecule: ribosomal RNA, 442 nt
Filed under: uncultured bacterium
Lineage: Bacteria
Description: bacterial SSU rRNA
Rfam family: Bacterial small subunit ribosomal RNA
Source: RNAcentral
AACGAACGCUGGCGGCGUGGAUUAGGCAUGCAAGUCGAACGGUAUUUUUUCAACGGAUCCUUCGGGUGAAGUUGGUUAAAGAGAGUGGCGAACGGGUGAGUAACACGUGGGCAACUUGCCCCUAAGUUCGGGAUAGCCCGCCGAAAGGCGGGGUAAUACCGGAUGUGGUCGCUCCGCGAUUGCGGAGUUGUCUAAAGGUGGGGAUUCUUCGGAACCUAUCGCUUAGGGAUAGGCCCGCGGCCUAUCAGCUUGUUGGUGAGGUAACGGCUCACCAAGGCGUAGACGGGUAGCUGGUCUGAGAGGAUGGUCAGCCACACUGGGACUGAGACACUGCCCAGACUCCUACGGGAGGCUGCAGUCGAGAAUCAUUCACAAUGCGCGAAAGCGUGAUGAUGCGACGCCGCGUGGAGGAUGACGGCCUUUCGGGUUGUAAACUCCUGUC